AUUUCUUGGGCCGCUCCCGCGGCAUAUGGAGGUUCCCAGGCUAGGGGUCGAAUCGGAGCUGUAGCCACCAGUCUACGCCAGAGCCACAGCAACGCAGGAUCCGAGCCACGUCUGCAACCUACACCACAGCUCACGGCAACGGCAACGCCAGAUCGUUAACACACUGAGCAAGGGCAGGAACUGAACCUGCAACCUCAUGGUUCCUAGUCAGAUUCGUUCACCACUGCGCCACGACAGGAACUCCUGGAUUCGUUUUAAUUGUGCCACGAUGGGAACUCCCUGAAGUCUUAAUUUCAACUGGAACCCCAAGGGUAUAUGCAAAUGAUCCCCAGGUCCUGAAGUCAGGCAUCUACGCAAAUGAGGAGGAUCAAAAGGUUUACUUGGAGUGAACAGCUCCAGUAGUGAUCCAGUGUAGACGCUAAGGUCAUGAUCCCAGAGGACCAUAUUGUGACAAGAAGUCAGAGUCCUGGGGAAGGUAGUGAGAGCUCACUUCCUCUGACCCUGACACUGGCAAAUGUUGAGAAGAACACCAUGUAACAGGUGCUGUAAACUUUGAUCAGUCCCACUGUACUGGGUGUGGCAACUGGUUCACUACUUAGUUAAGUUUACUCUAGUUCACCCUUAUUAGCCUUGAUCCUUCAGGUGUUGUAGGGCACCCUCCAUCCCUUGGGCUGUACUACGCUCUGCUGUUCCCCUGAGGAUUGUCUGUUUUUUAUUUUGUUUUGUUUUUUUGCUUUUUAGGGCCGCACCUGCGGCAUAUGGAGGGUCCCAGGCUGGGGGUUGAAGUGGAGCUACAGCUGUUUGCCUACACCACAGCCACAGCAGCUCGGGAUCAGAGGUGAGUCUGCCACCUACACCACAGCCCAUAGCAACACCAGAUCCUUAGCCCCCUGAUCGAGGCCAGGGAUGGAAACUGCAUCCUCAUGGAUCCUAGUCGGGUUCGUUAACCACUGAGCCAUGAAGGGAACUCUGGAUUGCCCUAACUUUUAUCUUGCCUGGUUGGGGACAGUUUCAGUAACUUCUCCCCAUCUUUCUUAUUCUACAUGCCAGGAAAUCUUUGCACGGGCUCUCUUCAAAUGCUGUGUAUCUUCACAACUACACAUGUUGGGACUGGGAACUGACCACAUCCAGGCCAUGGACCCAAUGGACCUAGUGGUCCCACGACAGGGGAUCUUGGAUCAAAACUCCACUUAUCACCUGUCUUCAUAAGCCCAACUCUACCUGGAGGUAAGUUGGACAUAGUUCAGGGCAACCCAGAUUCUCCAUCUCUUUCCUUGGGCUCCAUAGCCCUGAUGUAUGGCUGCAGGCUCUCUGGAGAAGGGCUGGGGUCAUAGCUACCAUUUAUACUUGUACUGGUGUUGCCAAGUCUUUCAGCAGGGGGAACUGGCAGGCUUCCUGCCAAUCAGUGUGCUUUUAGGUCUGUGAACUGAUUUAAGCUGUGAGUGAGAGACUAUGAUUUUCCAUUGCUGUGGUUAAUUUCACACUUGAGCUUUCCAACACCUGGGUUCCUUUUUCAUGAUUUGAGUCAGGUUGCAUCCCAAUUAGCUGGCUGCCAUCCCUCUCACCCCCAGCACAGAGCCCCUGGGUCUGUCUGUCACCAGCACAGUCUUCCCAGGCCCAGGACUUUCACUGCUACUCUGGCCACUUCAUCCUCCUUGUGCAGCCACCUCCCCUCUACUCUUCCAGGACCUUGCCCCACCCCGGCAACCACGAAUCUGUUCACUAUGUCUGAGUCUGUUUCUGUUUUGUAGAUAGGUUCAUCUGUGUUAUAUUUUAGAUUCCACAUAUAAGUGAUAUCAUGUGGUAUUUGUCUUUCUCUGACUUACUUCGCUUAGUAUAAUAAUCUGUAGGUCCAUCCAUGUUGCUGCAAAUGGCAUUAUUUCAUUCUUUUUUAUGGCUUACUAGUAUUACAUUGUACUUACGUACCACAUCUUCUUAAUCCAUCACUCCAUCAAUGGACAUUUAGGUUGCUUCCAUGUCUUGGCUAUUGUAAAGAGUGCUGCUAUGAACAUAUGGGUGCAUGUAUCUUUUUGCUGUUGCUGUUAUUGCUUUUUAGGGCCACACCUGCAUCAUACGGAAGUUGCCAGGCUAGGGGUCAAAUCAGAGCUACAGUUGCCGGCCUAUGCUACAGCCACGGCAACGCCAGAUCUGAGCCAUGUCUGUGACCUACACCACAGUGCAUGGCAACAUCAGAUCCUUAACCUAAUGAAUGAGGCCAGGGAUGGAACCUGCAUCUUCAUAGAUACUAGUCAGGCAGGAAGUGAGAGGCACUCAAAAGAUAGAAUUCAUACUGCUAUGAUACUGAGCACAGCUGAUUAAGAUUUGGGGAUUUGAAUGCAUCUUCCAUAGUAAAAACGUACUUCAUAAAAAAAUUUGAUAGAAGAAAUAUGAAUUAAAACUGUCUAGAACUUCUGUUCCACCUGGGGAGAAAAAAUUUUCUGCAAACAAUGUGAAUUUUUUUGUAUUUUUAUUUAAUUUAGUUGUAAUUCACUUAAGAAGCAGCCCAAUUUACACUUAAGCAUAAAAUAAUAGGAAGUAGGGAGUAGUUGCAGAUAAAAAGAAAACAAGGAAAAGAAUGUAGCGCAUUCAAAUAUCUUAAGUUUGUUGAGAAUAAUUAUAAUUCCUAAUGUUAGCAGGGAUGUGGGCAAACUCAUAUCAUUUUAUUUAUUUAUUUAUUUAUGUCUUUUUAGGGCUGCACCAGCAGCAUAUGGAUGUUCCCAGGCUUGGGGUCAAAUCAGAGCUACAGCUGCCAGCCUACACUACAGCCACAGCAACGCUAGCUCUGAGCCUCAUCUGCGACCCACGAGACAGCUCACAGCAACGCCAGCUCUUUAAUCCACCGAGUGGGGCCAGGGAUCGAACCCACAUCCUCCUGGAUACUAGUCCAAUACUACCGCUGAGCCACAACAGAAACUCCUUUCAUAUAGUUUUAGAUACCUAUCUAAGAACACAAUGGUUCUUUUCUUUCAUAAAGCAAUUUAGUAGUGCUUUUCAAAAGCUACAAAAAUAUCUUUAGUGGGUGAGCUAAGCACUGGCCCAUCUCCCCUCAACAAUCACCUCUACUCUCAGAGGCUAUUUUCUCCUUAAAAAUGUUCUGGCCGUGGGAACCGUCCAUUUGGGCUGCUACAACCCAAGCAGCAUAGACUGGGUGGGUCAAAUAAUUCUUACAGUUCUGGAAGCUGGGAAGUGCAAGACCAAAUGCCAGCGGAUUUAGUGUCUAAAGAGAGCCAGGUGUCUGGUUUACAGAAACUGCCUUUGGUCUUCUCGCAAGAGAACUCUCUGAGGAUUUUUUAAGGAGGCUCCACCCUCAGGACCUACUGGCCUCCCUAAGGCCCCGCCUCCACCUCAACCUGUGAAUCUGGGGGGAAGCAAACAUGCAGUUGAGGCGGGAAGGCACCUAGGUCACAUUGGCCAGCAGGCUGGAGCGCUAGGGAGCUAAUGGCCUCUAGGAGCCUUUUUCACACCAGGACAGGUGGGGCAGCUCGUGGGUAACCCCAGCUUCCUCUGCCUCCAUCUGGGCAACAGCACUGGUUCUGUACUUCCUUGUAGGGUUCCCAGUGGGACCAGGUCCAGUUGGUAGCAAACCCUUUACCACUUCCUUCCCUCCUGUCCCUGCCUCCCUUCCACACUUCUUUACCAGGCUUUCCUGGCAUUACCUCCCACAUGGUGCAUCUGCACUCAGGCCCCCUUCUGGGCUGGCCUCUGGGAUGUCUAAACGGAGCUGCAUUGAUACCUUUGGCCCAGUCAUUCCACUUCUGGGUAUUUAUUCCAAGAAAAUAAUCCUUCAAGAGGAAGGAGCAGUUAUAUCUAAAAAUCAUAUCGCAGCAUUUUUAUAUGACAGGGAAACUGGAAACAAUCUCAAUGUCCAAAAAAUCCAUUCAGUCGCAUUUAUUUGUUUGUUUAUUUAUUUUUUUAUUUUGGGCCGUGCCCAAGGGAUGUGAAAUUUCCCAGGCCAGCCAGCAACCCAAGCCCCUGCAAUACGCUGCCAGAUCCUUAAUCCUCCGGGCCACAGGGGAGCUCCCAGUCACAUUUAUUUUUCACCUACUGUAUCCUGGGCACUGUGCUGGACUGGGCAUUCCCAAAUGGAAUGUCGUACAAUUGGACAGGACAGGAAACAAGGCAGGAAGAUGAUGGAACCUGAACAAAGGCAGCAUGGGGGAGGGGCAGAGUGGAGCAUGGGUUUGACAGAGUCUUUAGAAGGAAGAAUCUGAGCCAGUAGACACAGAAGAUAAAGGAUGGGGAGAUGGGGACGAUAAAGUCCAGGUCUGUGCUGGGGUGGAUGGGUGAUGGGAGAGAGAAUGCGGGAAAAGAAGCAGGUCUCAGCUAGAAGGCCUCCAUUUGGGUAACUUGAGUUUGAGAAGAUUUACAAGAUUGCUUUGACAUUAUUUAAUGUCUAUGGACCCUCCUGCCACUGCACUAUUUAAGCCAGGCCCCUGGACCCCUGUCUGCGUGAAGUUUCAUUCAAAAGAGAACAAAAAUCCGGAGUUCCCGUCAUGGUGCAGUGGUGAACGAAUCCGACUAGGAACCAUGAGGUUGCGGGUUCGGUCCAUGCCCUUGCUCAGUGGGUUAACGAUCCGGCGUUGCCGUGAGCUGUGGUGUAGGUUGCAGACGUGGCUCGGAUCCAGCGUUGCUGUGGCUCUGGCCUAGGCUGGUGGCUACAGCUCCGAUUCAACCCCUAGCCUGGGAACCUCCAUAUGCUGCAGGAGCGGCCCAAGAAAUAGCAAAAAAAAAAAAAAAAAAAAAAAAAAAAAA
RNAcentral lists this long non-coding RNA (4752 nucleotides) under Sus scrofa (pig). RNAcentral's name for it is "lncRNA (ENSSSCG00000047925.1)". The record is from RNAcentral. Lineage: Eukaryota; Metazoa; Chordata; Mammalia; Artiodactyla; Suidae.